This 1559-nucleotide ribosomal RNA is filed under the name Chalinolobus morio (chocolate-wattled bat). RNAcentral describes it as "16S ribosomal RNA". The stretch from base 77 to 1456 matches the Rfam family "Bacterial large subunit ribosomal RNA". The record is from RNAcentral. Lineage: Eukaryota; Metazoa; Chordata; Mammalia; Chiroptera; Vespertilionidae.
GACCAAACAUAGCUCAUACUUAAUCUCUUUAAACUACCUUAGAAUUUUCAAACAAAACAUUUAUUAUUCAACUAAAGUAUUAGGCGAUAGAAAUUUUAUUUUGACGCUAUAGAGAUAGUACCGCAAGGGAAAACUGAAAGAAAAUUAUAAGUAAAAAAUAGCAAAGCUUAAAACUUGUACCUUUUGCAUAAUGACUCAACUAGAAAACCUUGGCAAAAAGAAUUAAAGUCAAACAACCCGAAACCAGACGAGCUACCUACCAGCAGCCUACAGGGCAAAUUCAUCUAUGUGGCAAAAUAGUGAAGCGACUGAUAGGUAGAGGCGACAAACCUAUCGAGCCUGGUGAUAGCUGGUUGUCCAGAGCAGAAUUUUAGUUCUAAUUUAAAUUUACCUAAUAACAAGCAAAUUAUAAUGUAAAUUUAAAUAAUAAUCUGAAAAGGUACAGCUUUUCAGACAUAGGAUACAACCCUUAUUAGAGAAUAAACUUCUAAAUCCACACUAGUAGGCCUAAAAGCAGCCACCAACUAAGAAGACGUUAAAGCCCAACAGCACAAGAACUUAAUCCCAUAGCUAAAUUCACAUUCCUAAUAUAAAACUGGACUAUUCUAUUCUCUAAUAGAAGAAAUAAUGUUGAUAUGAGUAACAAGAAGAUUUUCUCCCUGCACAAGUGUAUAUCAAAACGAAUAACUCAUUGAUUAUUACCAAAACUAGCAUUAUUAUUAACUAAUAUCUUAACACUAAUUGUUGAACCAACACAGGAGUGCAACCAAGGGAAAGAUUAAAAGAAGUAAAAGGAACUCAGCAAACACAAACCUCGCCUGUUUACCAAAAACAUCACCUCUAGCAUAAAAAGUAUUAGAGGCCCUGCCUGCCCAGUGACUUCAGUUUAACGGCCGCGGUAUCCUGACCGUGCAAAGGUAGCAUAAUCAUUUGUUCUCUAAAUAAGGACUUGCAUGAAAGGCUCCACGAGGGUUUUACUGUCUCUUACUUCCAAUCAGUGAAAUUGACAUUCCCGUGAAGAGGCGGGAAUAAAACAAUAAGACGAGAAGACCCUAUGGAGCUUUAAUUAAUUAGCUCAUAAGACUCUUAACACUCUCUACAAGAGAUCAACAUCACCCUAGUUGAGCUAACAAUUUAGGUUGGGGUGACCUCGGAAUAAAAUUCAACCUCCGAGAAAAUUCUACCAAGACUCACAAGUCAAAGUUACAAUAUUAGAUACUGAUCCGCCAUUGGCGAUCAACGAAACAAGUUACCCUAGGGAUAACAGCGCAAUCCUAUUUAAGAGUUCAUAUCGACAAUUAGGGUUUACGACCUCGAUGUUGGAUCAGGACAUCCCAAUGGUGCAGCAGCUAUUAAUGCGUUCGUUUGUUCAACGAUUAAAGUCCUACGUGAUCUGAGUUCAGACCGGAGUAAUCCAGGUCGGUUUCUAUCUAUUAACAAGUCUCUCCUAGUACGAAAGGACCAGAGAGACAAGGCCCACUUACAAUUAAGCGCCUUAAUAAAACAGAUGAAUUAAUCUCAAUUAUACCAUAAACAUGAUUCACCUAAGAUAAAGGACC